Molecule: long non-coding RNA, 244 nt
Filed under: Homo sapiens (human)
Lineage: Eukaryota; Metazoa; Chordata; Mammalia; Primates; Hominidae
Description: HSALNT0126438
Source: RNAcentral
AGCGGCCAGGAGGAGAUGGGGCAGGGGGCACCUAGCAGGGACUUAGAGACCGUCGCUAAGGAACUGGCGGCAGAGAGGAGAGCAGGGAAGAGGCGGAGACCAGGACUCUGCAGGACGACUGAUGAGGUUCUUCUGGGCUCCCAGUACCACAGUUUUGGUAGCAAAGGCAAAGGAGCAGCUCUGACAACUUGGGGACAGCUGGCGAUGAGGCCCCCAUCUGAUUCUGGAGUCAGUGUCUGGCUGA